This 174-nucleotide small nuclear RNA is filed under the name Haemaphysalis longicornis (longhorned tick). RNAcentral describes it as "U2 spliceosomal RNA". It matches the Rfam family "U2 spliceosomal RNA". Rfam says of the family: U2 is a small nuclear RNA (snRNA) component of the spliceosome (involved in pre-mRNA splicing). Lineage: Eukaryota; Metazoa; Arthropoda; Arachnida; Ixodida; Ixodidae. The record is from Rfam by way of RNAcentral.
AUAAAUUCUCUUCUCAGACCCUGUUUCUUAUCAGCUUAAUAUCUGAUACGGUUGCUAUAUGCAUCCGGGAUAUUAUGGCAAUUUUGUUCCAUGGGGCCGUGCAGGGGCUUGACUCCUCCGGUUGCCGCGGGUUGGCCCGUCAUUGCACUGCCGUCGGUGUUCAGCCCUGUUUCC